ACCCGGCAUCCUUGGUGUUCCUUCCUGUCUACUCUCUGUCAUGACUUUGAUCCCCAGUGAUUUUCCUCCUCUCCGUUGGUGUCGAUAAACGUCGAGUUUUUCCCCCAUCAUCCAUUGAUGAUUUGGUUGUGUUCGCUCUCCUAGAAGAGUCCUCCUCUCCGUUGGUGUCGAUAAACGUCGAGUUUUUCCUAUGCGUCCGUUGGCGUAUAGU
This 211-nucleotide long non-coding RNA is filed under the name Lathyrus oleraceus (garden pea). RNAcentral's name for it is "Pisum sativum (pea) long non-coding RNA (PSAT_LNC004723)". Lineage: Eukaryota; Viridiplantae; Streptophyta; Magnoliopsida; Fabales; Fabaceae. The record is from RNAcentral.